Long non-coding RNA from Thunnus maccoyii (southern bluefin tuna), 1762 nucleotides. RefSeq lists it as uncharacterized. The transcript has 2 exons. NCBI's taxonomy places the organism in Eukaryota, Metazoa, Chordata, Actinopteri, Scombriformes, Scombridae. The record is from RefSeq and is a predicted model, not a curated record.
GAGAAUUCCGCAAGCAGCCAAGUAUCCACAGGCUAACAAGCUAACAGGCUAACAAGUAGAGCCUGUCUACAGGCUAACAAGCUAACAGGCUAACAAACUAUGUCUGACUAGUACAUGAACGAAUCUGGCGAGCCCUCGAGCCCUGAGUGGUGUUCGAUAUUCUUCAGCAUAAGACACAGGCAGCAGAUGAGCAUAAUUGGUCUCAGUACAGCAGCAAGGCGAGCUUAUACAGCUACGGUACAGACCCGAUACGUGUCAAACCCACAAAUGAAUUGACACUUUGGAUGCGUUUGUUCAUUUUAUGCCAGCACUAUGUCAUUACUGUGUUUAAACCUUCUUUGGCUGCCCCCAAAUGAUCAAUUAAUGUGGCUUUAAAUAUGUCUGUUGUCUUUCGAGGCUGCGGAAGGUGAAGGAGAUGGAUGAACAUUUCACUUAUACACUCAUACAGAGAAUAUGAUGCAGACCAACUGAAUGCAUGUUCAACCUGCGUUGAACCAACACUGUUAACAGAUACUCGGUGCAGGUCAAGUGAUGGUGCUUAUAUUACCUGUACAGUUUUACUUUUACUCAUUCCAAACAGUCCAAACGUCAUUUCUUGUGGACAAGGGGUUGUCUGAACUGUGACUAUAAAUUCUUUGAUGACAUGACUAUAAUUUAAAUCUUAAUUGUGUUAUUUCAAUCAUUUAGGGAAAUGGACAUUCAUUAAAGUUAAACUGUUGCAGAUCAUGUCAAUAUUCAGGAAUCAGUACAGAGAAGGAGCUGUCCAUCAUUUGUGCUUCAGUAUCUGUACCUGAUUUCCUUUUUCAGUGGUUCAGUUUUUUGAAAAUUCUGGCCUUCUGGUGAAAAAUGCCAGGUACUUUCACAGUCUGUUAGUUGGGUAUCCGUAUCAGCACCUUGAAAGUUAAAGCCACAGCAGUCUGUUGACACACACUUUAUCAGAGAAGUCAAACCAAGGACAUGAUCCCCCCCCACCCCCACCCACACCCCAGUGUGUGAAGUAGCAGCCUGAUGUUAGAGAAGUUUUACUCUCUGCUACGUUUGUGCUGGAGUUGAUCGCACCGCUUUGAUUUUUUGGGCUUCAAUAUAACCUCGUCAUAGAAGGUUGAACCAUGUUCUCUGGGAUUCUGGUGGUGGUGCUACUGGUCCUGCUCAUGUGUAGGCGGGUCCUGUGGCAUGGGAUAUGCAUCCUUAUUGGUCAGAUGUUGUUCAAGAAGCCUGUGAGGACUAGCGGAGUGGCCAGUGGGAGACAAACUGGAGACCUCAAGAAUGAAUAACUAAUAUGAACCUGAUUCUUCUGAAUUUCAUUGUGUUGUGUUCGUUUUUACUUUUCUUACAUUCCCAAAAAAGAAAGAAAUGAAAGAUUCACUCAGUCUGCCCAACCUAAACUCCAGUGUGGUGUGGGCAGUUCAAAGAGACAUCACAAAAGCGACCAAUCCUGUAUGCACCAAUGACUGAUUGGACUCACUAACUGAACUUCUCCACUGUCUCCUCCACCAACACAUAGGAGAAGACAUUUGGUUUAGUUAUUGGUGGUUGGUUUGGUCAACCUGUGUGAUUUUUUUGGCAAUUCAUCCAUCAUUUAUAGCAAAUUCGAACACCCAGACUUAACAGAGGUGAGAUAAGCAUGUCAUGUGGCAACCACCAGCUGACUGUGACUGGCACACCUCAACGCAUACUUCUGUCAAUAUUUCCUUGAUGUAAGAAAAAUGUUACCAAGCUAAUAAAAAGAUAAUGUAACAAUAAAUUUGUAUUUUGAAAGAGA